This 497-nucleotide ribosomal RNA is filed under the name uncultured bacterium. RNAcentral's name for it is "partial 16S ribosomal RNA". It matches the Rfam family "Bacterial small subunit ribosomal RNA", at positions 28 to 507 of the family's 1533-position model. The record is from RNAcentral.
GACGAACGCUGGCGGCGUGCCUAAUACAUGCAAGUCGAGCGAACAGACGAGGAGCUUGCUCCUCUGACGUUAGCGGCGGACGGGUGAGUAACACGUGGAUAACCUACCUAUAAGACUGGGAUAACUUCGGGAAACCGGAGCUAAUACCGGAUAAUCUCUUGAACCGCAUGGUUCAAUAGUGAAAGACGGUUUUGCUGUAACUUCUAGCUGGAUCCCCGCCGCAUUAGCUAGUUGGUAAGGUAACGGCGUACCAAGGGGACGAUGCGUAGCCGACCUGAGAGGGUGAUCGGCCACACUGGAACUGAGACACGGUCCAGACUCCUACGGGAGGCAGCAGUAGGGAAUCUUACGCAAUGGGCGAAAGCCUGACGGAGCAACGCCGCGUGAGUGAUGAAGGUCUUCGGAGCGUAAAACUCUGUUAUUAGGGAAGAACAAAUGUGUAAGUAACUAAGCACGUCUUGACGGUACCUAAUCAGAAAGCCACGGCUAACUACGUG